GGGUUCUACCGUCGGUCGGGCUACCAAGUUUGUACUGGUGUGUAGAAUUUCUACCUUCUGGGGAACCAUCAUGUUAUUAAUUUAGCGUGGUGGGAAACCAGGACCUUUACCUUGAAAAAAUUAGAGUGUUCAAAGCAGGCUUAUGUCUGAAUACAUUAGCAUGGAAUAAUGAAAUAGGACGUUCGAUCCUAUUUUGUUGGUUUCUGAAUCACCGUAAUGAUUAAUAGGGAUAGUUG
RNAcentral lists this ribosomal RNA (236 nucleotides) under uncultured Scutellospora. RNAcentral describes it as "partial 18S ribosomal RNA". The stretch from base 39 to 236 matches the Rfam family "Eukaryotic small subunit ribosomal RNA", at positions 684 to 884 of the family's 1831-position model. Lineage: Eukaryota; Fungi; Glomeromycota; Glomeromycetes; Diversisporales; Gigasporaceae. The record is from RNAcentral.